UACGGAGGGUGCAAGCGUUAUCCGGAUUUACUGGGUUUAAAGGGUGUGUAGGCGGGCUUUUAAGUCAGUGGUGAAAUCUCCGGGCUCAACCUGGAAACUGCCAUUGAUACUAUUAGUCUUGAAUUUUGUUGAGGUAGGCGGAAUAAGUCAUGUAGCGGUGAAAUGCUUAGAUAUGACUUAGAACACCAAUUGCGAAGGCAGCUUGCUAAACAAAUAUUGACGCUGAGGCACGAAAGCGUGGGGAUCAAACAGG
This 253-nucleotide ribosomal RNA is filed under the name uncultured bacterium. Its description in RNAcentral is "partial 16S ribosomal RNA". It matches the Rfam family "Bacterial small subunit ribosomal RNA", at positions 524 to 776 of the family's 1533-position model. The record is from RNAcentral.